Molecule: microRNA precursor, 81 nt
Organism: Alligator mississippiensis (American alligator)
Lineage: Eukaryota; Metazoa; Chordata; Crocodylia; Alligatoridae
Rfam family: mir-26 microRNA precursor family
About the family: The hairpin precursors (represented here) are predicted based on base pairing and cross-species conservation -- their extents are not known. In this case the mature sequence is excised from the 5' arm of the hairpin.
Source: Rfam
CUGUUACCUGGUUCAAGUAAUCCAGGAUAGGCUGUAUGCAUUGCAGUUGGCCUAUUCUUGAUUACUUGCACUGGGAGACAG